UAGGGAAUCUUCGGCAAUGGACGAAAGUCUGACCGAGCAACGCCGCGCGAGUGAAGAAGGUUUUCGGAUCGUAAAACUCUGUUGUUAGAGAAGAACAAGGACGUUAGUAACUGAACGUCCCCUGACGGUAUCUAACCAGAAAGCCACGGCUAACUACGUGCCAGCAGCCGCGGUAAUACGUAGGUGGCAAGCGUUGUCCGGAUUUAUUGGGCGUAAAGCGAGCGCAGGCGGUUUCUUAAGUCUGAUGUGAAAGCCCCCGGCUCAACCGGGGAGGGUCAUUGGAAACUGGGAGACUUGAGUGCAGAAGAGGAGAGUGGAAUUCCAUGUGUAGCGGUGAAAUGCGUAGAUAUAUGGAGGAACACCAGUGGCGAGGGCGGCUCUCUGGUCUGUAACUGACGCUGAGGCUCGAAAGCGUGGGGAGCAAACAGG
RNAcentral lists this ribosomal RNA (429 nucleotides) under Gemmatimonadota bacterium. Its description in RNAcentral is "Gemmatimonadetes bacterium partial 16S ribosomal RNA". It matches the Rfam family "Bacterial small subunit ribosomal RNA", at positions 355 to 776 of the family's 1533-position model. The record is from RNAcentral. Lineage: Bacteria; Pseudomonadati; Gemmatimonadota.